RNAcentral lists this long non-coding RNA (595 nucleotides) under Rattus norvegicus (Norway rat). RNAcentral describes it as "long non-coding RNA NONRATT005410". Lineage: Eukaryota; Metazoa; Chordata; Mammalia; Rodentia; Muridae. The record is from RNAcentral.
GCCAGAGGUGUUGGAGUCGGGGGACCUUUGGUCGUUCUUUAAGCCACUUCCUGCCGCCUUCUCUCAAGGAUGCACGCUUGUGCUCCAUCCAAAUCGAUUGGGGGUGGCGGUGGGGAGGGUCCUAUGAAUGUCACAGGAGGAGAUACCUUCUGUCUUUGUUUCAAAGAAAGUGAUGUGCCAUUUGUUAAUAUACAAGAGAAAUAUUGAAAAUAUAUUGAAAAGAGCAAUUUUAAAUUAUUUUUGGCUUAUGUUGCAAUAUUUAUUUUCUUGUAUUAGAGAAGAUUUCUUUGUAGAGAAAAAAAUGUAUUUUUCAUUACCGCAAAGACCUAUUUCUCCUUUUUGUACAUUGUCCUCGUUCGCGACCCUUAACGAGCAAUAGAAUGUUCGGUCACCCCGCGUGGCCAGUGCCCACUGUGCCCUGCAUGACUGUGUUGUUGCUGCUGCUGCUGCUGCAUAGUUUCCGGCCCUGUCCUGUCCUGCUCACUCACAAGGGCAUCUGGAUCGCAGCCCCCACCAGGGUCUGUGUCUAAGGAGCCCACAGCACUCCUCGUGUGUUGGCAAAUUCAGUUAAUAAAGCAAUGUUUUCUGUGCUGGC